Phrynosoma platyrhinos (Desert horned lizard) is the source of this 72-nucleotide non-coding RNA. The record is from the annotation of a GenBank genome assembly. NCBI's taxonomy places the organism in Eukaryota, Metazoa, Chordata, Lepidosauria, Squamata, Phrynosomatidae.
AGAUUAGUGGUGUAGGUGUUUGAAUAUUGGACUAUGACUCUGGAGACCAGGGUUCAAAUCCCAGCUCAGCCA